CCCUUGUCUCUAGUUGCUACGAAAGGGCACUCUAGAGAGACUGCCGGUGACAAACCGGAGGAAGGUGGGGAUGACGUCAAGUCCUCAUGGCCCUUAUGGGUAGGGCUUCACACGUCAUACAAUGGUGCGUACAGAGGGUUGCCAACCCGCGAGGGGGAGCUAAUCCCAGAAAACCCAUCGUAGUCCGGAUCGUACUCUGCAACUCGACUACGUGAAGCUGGAAUCGCUAGUAAUCGCGGAUCAGCAUGCCGCGGUGAAUACGUUCCCGGGUCUU
This 274-nucleotide ribosomal RNA is filed under the name uncultured bacterium. RNAcentral's name for it is "partial 16S ribosomal RNA". It matches the Rfam family "Bacterial small subunit ribosomal RNA", at positions 1102 to 1382 of the family's 1533-position model. The record is from RNAcentral.